GCUUGUCUCAAAGAUUAAGCCAUGCAUGUCUAAGUAUAAGCACCCUUAUACUGCGAAACUGCGUACAGCUCAUUAUAUCAGCAAUUAUUUAUUUGAAGGUCACCUAUUACAUGGAUAACUGUGGUAAUUCUAGAGCUAAUACAUGCGUAAAGUCCCGACUCUUUCUGGGGAGGGAUGUAUUUAUUAGAUAAAAAACCAAUGCGGGUUCUGCCCGGUUUUGUGUUGAAUCAUAGUAACUUUUCGAAUCGCAUGGCUUCACGCCGGCGAUAGUUCAUUCAAAUUUCUGCCCUAUCAGCUUUCGACGGUAGUGUAGUGGACUACCGUGGCGUUAACGGGUAACGGAGAAUUAGGGUUCGAUUCCGGAGAGGGAGCCUGAGAAACGGCUACCACAUCUAAGGAAGGCAGCAGG
RNAcentral lists this ribosomal RNA (409 nucleotides) under uncultured Cryomonadida. RNAcentral's name for it is "partial small subunit ribosomal RNA". It matches the Rfam family "Eukaryotic small subunit ribosomal RNA", at positions 30 to 432 of the family's 1831-position model. The record is from RNAcentral. Lineage: Eukaryota; Cercozoa; Thecofilosea.